RNAcentral lists this unclassified non-coding RNA (1076 nucleotides) under leaf metagenome. Its description in RNAcentral is "partial contains internal transcribed spacer 1, 5.8S ribosomal RNA, internal transcribed spacer 2, and large subunit ribosomal RNA". The stretch from base 491 to 1076 matches the Rfam family "Eukaryotic large subunit ribosomal RNA", at positions 1 to 598 of the family's 3401-position model. The record is from RNAcentral.
UUACUGAGUUUACGCUCUAUAACCCUUUGUGAACAUACCUAUAACUGUUGCUACGGCGGGUAGGGUCUCCGCGACCCUCCCGGCCUCCCGCCCCCGGGCGGGUCGGCGCCCGCCGGAGGAUAACCAAACUCUGAUUUAACGACGUUUCUUCUGAGUGGUACAAGCAAAUAAUCAAAACUUUUAACAACGGAUCUCUUGGUUCUGGCAUCGAUGAAGAACGCAGCGAAAUGCGAUAAGUAAUGUGAAUUGCAGAAUUCAGUGAAUCAUCGAAUCUUUGAACGCACAUUGCGCCCGCCAGCAUUCUGGCGGGCAUGCCUGUUCGAGCGUCAUUUCAACCCUCAAGCUCUGCUUGGUGUUGGGGCCCUACAGCUGAUGUAGGCCCUCAAAGGUAGUGGCGGACCCUCCCGGAGCCUCCUUUGCGUAGUAACUUUACGUCUCGCACUGGGAUCCGGAGGGACUCUUGCCGUAAAACCCCCAAUUUUCCAAAGGUUGACCUCGGAUCAGGUAGGAAUACCCGCUGAACUUAAGCAUAUCAAUAAGCGGAGGAAAAGAAACCAACAGGGAUUGCCUCAGUAACGGCGAGUGAAGCGGCAACAGCUCAAAUUUGAAAUCUGGCCCUAGGCCCGAGUUGUAAUUUGCAGAGGAUGCUUUUGGUGCGGUGCCUUCCAAGUUCCCUAGAACGGGACGCCAGAGAGGGUGAGAGCCCCGUACAGUUGGACACCAAGCCUUUGUAAAGCUCCUUCGACGAGUCGAGUAGUUUGGGAAUGCUGCUCAAAAUGGGAGGUAUAUUUCUUCUAAAGCUAAAUACCGGCCAGAGACCGAUAGCGCACAAGUAGAGUGAUCGAAAGAUGAAAAGCACUUUGAAAAGAGGGUUAAACAGCACGUGAAAUUGUUAAAAGGGAAGCGCUUGUGACCAGACUUGCGUCCGGUGAAUCACCCAGCUCUCGCGGCUGGGGCACUUCGCCGGCUCAGGCCAGCAUCAGCUCGCUGUCGGGGACAAAAGCUUCAGGAACGUAGCUCUCUUCGGGGAGUGUUAUAGCCUGUUGCAUAAUACCCUUCGGCGGGCUGAGGUACGC